GGAAGGUGUCAGGGUUGGUUCAGGAGACAGAAGAAUUUUGAAACGAAUGCGAUGAAUAAGCAGAUGGUCCGGGCGUUCGGUUAAAACGAAAAGACAAUUUUUGUCUCUUUAUAUCUUCCGGGUAAUCAUUCUAACUCCGGAGUUCCUUAGCCCAAGAACUCGACCCCUAUGUUCCUGGAAACAGUCGUGUGACCUUCUGUACAACACUUCUCAACAAGCCCCCUUUCUCACGUUAAAAACGAGAAGUCGUCUUGUCUGAAUGUCCGCAAACGCAGAAGGUGCGCUGACUUGGGCUCCCUAGGGAUGCUGACAGGCGCUGGAUGGAAGAAGCCAGUCCAACCCGAGCAGCUGGCGGGAUCAGCACUGUUGUUCUGAGAUCUGUGGCUGAUAGAGAAGCUGGGGGUGGCCUGGUGAGGGCCCCACAGGCCGCCGCCUGGUGAGCGGGAAGAUACCCCGGGAACAUCCCCUGUGGGCCUGACCUGCCCCGGGAGCCCAGCAGACAGCUGAACCGAAAACUCCCUGACAACCAGGAGAUUUGGGUGUCUGGGGGUGCACGGAAGCGCCCCGGAGACCUCAGAAAUGCGCCAGCCCCUUGAGAAGCAGGUGUCAGAAUGUGAGCCUCGCACCCCAAGAGUGCGAUUCCUUUGGGUGAGGAUGGAUUUGACAGCAGAUAGAUAGGCCUUUGUUUGUUUGUUUCAACCAACGCUGAGGUGUCACCUUCCCCUUUCACCCCUCCGUUCCCACCUCACCGGGUCCCUCGUACAGGCCCCACACACGGAUUUUCAUUUUCAACACGUAGCGCCCGACUGAGGGAUCUGAGAUCACCGGCUCAGAAAACGGGAAAGGUCAGUCUGACUAACACCUCGCCUGGCGUCCUGGGAUCAGCAUCCAAGAGCAACAGAUCCGAGAUGGGCUGUGUGAGAAAGCCCAGGGGGCAAGGCUCUCUGACGUCACCCAAGUUCAGGACCCAGGGCUUUACCUGACGGGGGUGGGGGCUGGAAUUCUCCUGGAAGAACACCAGAGCCAGGCUGGUGGGUUCAGAGGGAACGCAGGGGAGCCCUUUUCUGCUAAUAAAAGGAGAAACCAAAUAAAACGGAGGGAGUCCAAGAAAAAUACAACGCUAUUGUUCUGGGGCAGAAGAUGCUGGCUGGGAGGCUUCGUUGAGCAAUGCCAGUCACACCCUUUCUCUGUGGGACUGCAGGAAUGUUGGCUGUUUCCCUGGAGGCCAGGUGGGAGGUGGGCAGACAGGUCUAUGGAGAUGAGGAGUUCUUGGAGCUGGAACUCUCUGAACAUCCCCAUGGCCUUGCAGCUGGGAGGCGGACACGGAGCAGCAGGAAUGUGGGUUGAAUGAGGGCCAGGAAGCAGCAAUCACGUGACAUGUCAGCGGUGGCCCAACGUCCAUAGUCCAAGGAAGGAUGAAUGUGACUGAUGUCUUGGCGUUAGCUUUUCCCAAGAGCGAGCUCUUAAAAAUAACUCUCCCGAGUGCAUGUGGCUGAGAGACCCCGCCAGCUUAUUUCUCCUGUCUCUGUCCCUUGCUCCUUCUCCUUCGAUUUCAGCAAGAACCCCGUUUGUGUGGGCACCGAUCUGGGACUGCCUGGAACCCCACGUGUGGGAGAGAGGGACGCUGUUGGGUCGGCCACGGUCCGUUUCCUUCUGAACAUGCCCAUCCUUUUUUGGCGGGGGGGAUCUUUGUCUCUUACCAAAACUCUAGCUCCAACUCCCCACACUCAGACUUCUCUCCCUCCACUAUGAACGGCGAAGACUCAGUUGGAAAACCUUGGAUGCAGAAUGGCUCAGAGUCACCCACAGUGCCCGUCUGGGUGUCACAGAAGCUGAGUCCCUCUGAGAAAGACCGUGUCAUGAGGGCGCUUUCAAUGUUUUCCAAAGAGCUCAUCCUUCGGUUGGAUUUGUUGGUUCCAGGAUCUCUGGACUUAGGCCAAGGAACGUUAUUACGGAUCUAACCCACAGCGACAUCUGGAUUCAGAACCUCUGGGUUCUCUCUCCCCACCCCCUCUCUCUCGAUCAAUUUUCUCUGUGACCUCAGAAAAGCUACACCCCAUCUCUGGGCUUCAGUGACAUCUCCUAUUCAAAGGCGGUUCUUCAUCAAAAUUCAGCACAUACUCAUUCUUUCUUUUCUCUCUUCCAAGGCUGGGGGGGCUUCCCUUAGAGACCCCCCAACAUGCUCUCUUAUGGGGGAGUCUGCUAGGAGUGAGUCCAAAGGAGCUUAGAGUGAGGGAAGGGUUAGAAGUGGCCAAGGUGACAACCCCUUUGCCUUUAAGGAACCCCAUGCCUUACCCUAGCCACAGAGAAGCGCUCCUCAUCUGUGGGGCACCCACCCUGGCACUUUCGGGGUGUAGGGUUUGUAUGGCAGCCACUACGGAAAAUCUGUCUGAGCUGGAGGCGAGGGAUGAGCCAGCCUGGAAUGCUCCCACAGUCACAGCCGUGUUUACAGGAGAGCAUAUGGAUGGAGUUUAGCUUUGAUACAUUCCCAUCACUUUUUACAGAACGAUUUUCCAGCCAAUAAAAGACAUACCUUAACCACU
Long non-coding RNA from Myotis brandtii (Brandt's bat), 2543 nucleotides. RefSeq lists it as uncharacterized. Lineage: Eukaryota; Metazoa; Chordata; Mammalia; Chiroptera; Vespertilionidae. The record is from RefSeq and is a predicted model, not a curated record. The transcript has 2 exons.